AGGAUUAUAGUUAAUUAUAACAUUUGAUUUGCAGUCAUAAAAUACUGUUUUACAGUUAAUCUUA
This 64-nucleotide transfer RNA is filed under the name Gryllotalpa henana. Its description in RNAcentral is "tRNA-Ala". It matches the Rfam family "tRNA". Rfam says of the family: Transfer RNA (tRNA) molecules are approximately 80 nucleotides in length. Lineage: Eukaryota; Metazoa; Arthropoda; Insecta; Orthoptera; Gryllotalpidae. The record is from RNAcentral.